GGAGAAAAAGUGGAGGAAUGGCAAAGGCUGAUUGACUUUGUCAACUACUUACUUUAAAAAACAUUUGAGAAAGCCAGAAAGCAGAGGGGAUAAAGCUUCACUCUCAUGAGAAUGGGAAGCAGAGGCGGAGGCAGCAUGCACAGUCAUCCUUUGAGGGUUUGUUUUAAACAAACAAACUGAUGCCUGGGAAAAGGGCUAGUUAGGUUAUCCUUCUUGUUUCAUUAAGUGUUUGUCCUCCUUAAAAUUGAGAAUGAACAGAGACUCGUGGAUUUCAUCUUCUGAAUUUGAAAAGAAUGACACAAUGCAAUUCAGGUCAAGCUGCGGCUGCAGAAAGACGGACCCCCCAACCCAGAACAACCCUGCGUCCGGAAAACUUUGGGAUAAGACUAAGCAAACUACAACACUGGAACUUGGGGAGGGGCUUGGAGAGUUUGUUUUGGAAAGUUUUGAGCAGGAAAUCAUCUAACCACAAGAGUAAGAAAACUAAUUUUGAGCUUUAAUUUCUUUAGUCUUUCAGUUUUAGCAGGCACAGCUUUAACAUUCAUUUUCAACCCAUUGAAGAGGAGAUGAGCUUAUUGGCUAGUCCACCUUGACAACAUGUAGGUGGAAAACAGGACAUUCAGUCUUUGGUGCAGAGUGGCCUGGGAGAUACUUAUGAACCAUUUUAACACAUUUCAGGACCACGUAACAACAUCAACACUGCACUGAAGUGGUAUCGGGAAAGUCCAUCCAGAGAAGCAAUGUCUGCUAUGGAGGAAGCAGCUUCAUCAAGGUGGAAGCAGGUCUAUGCUUCCAGGCUGGUCAGUUCCAUUCAUGAAAACAGCACACUGUGGCUGACUAUGGUUUGAAGAAACAAAGGAAGCCAAAGAAAACAAAAAAAUGUUAACGGAGAAUUUAAUCCAUCUCUAAGAGGUGGAGGGAGUUUCAUUUGAAUUGCUCCCUGUUCUUUUACUCUUCCUCCCCCUUGAAGGGAGUUGGUAGAUUUGACCGGUGAGUUUAGAAGAUUAGCCCUAAACAUGUGUGGUUCAGCCCUUUUGCUCCAUUUUGUCUUGGAAAAGGGCUGGAUUCUGUGCUAUUCUCCUGUGCCUUAAGUUUUGUAGUUAUGGGAUUUAUCUAACACAGCCUGACUGGUUUGGAAAGUCUGUCUGAUUUUGAUGUUUUCUGUUACCUGGUCUGCUAACAUUUUUUUCAAGAAAUAUAGCUAGUAUUUUCUCCCUC
Mandrillus leucophaeus (drill) is the source of this 1218-nucleotide long non-coding RNA. RefSeq lists it as uncharacterized. The transcript is spliced from 2 exons. NCBI's taxonomy places the organism in Eukaryota, Metazoa, Chordata, Mammalia, Primates, Cercopithecidae. The record is from RefSeq and is a predicted model, not a curated record.